Long non-coding RNA from Felis catus (domestic cat), 558 nucleotides. RefSeq lists it as uncharacterized. The record is from RefSeq and is a predicted model, not a curated record. The transcript is spliced from 2 exons. NCBI's taxonomy places the organism in Eukaryota, Metazoa, Chordata, Mammalia, Carnivora, Felidae.
GUAUUUCUUCCAAAAAAUCUCCGAAUGUCCAGUCUCAUCUUGGAGGACCUCAGCAUGCUAAUCGCUUUGGACUUUGUAUGUAGAGAUCAAGCAUCUGUUUUACCAGCUUCUAGAGAAGACGGCUCUGAAGAUCCAAGGCACUUGGCAUUGGGUUUUGGCUUCCUAGCCCUCAGCCUCCAUCUAGCCACCUCUUUUUACGAAUCUGCUCACACUAGCAUCUACGCCGUGCCCCAUGCUUUGGGAAGAGAACCUAGACAUCGUGCUAAAUGGUCAGCCAUGCCCUUCUCUUAGUUUCUAUCCUCCUUGCUGUGAAAAGUAUUUGUCCUUCUAUUUCCAGCCAUUAGAGGGCAAGGCUGCUGCAGCUAACAGAUUUUAAGGCUUGUUUUGGGAGAGCCCGAGCAAAGCAAGCAUUUUUCCAAUUAUACACCAUCUAACUCAAUUUACAUUUAUUAGAGAAACUGCCAGCUAUUUCAUGUUAAUAUUGACAUUUUCAUAAGUACUUGCAAUUAGAAUUUAAGCUGAGAGUCCAAUAAAUCUCUCAGAUGCUUUACACUUUUA